CUGCAUUUGGAAAUGGUGAAAGGAAAGAGGUUCUUCAAUCAGUAUGUCUUUUUUUCACAUCAACGUGGCACUUAACAAACAUAUUAGAGAACUGCUUCAUAGUUCAGUGUCAGCAGGGAUCAGUUGUGGAGAGGCCUGCAGCAUAUUUGGAAAUCAGCCAUCAAGAGUUGGCGUCAAUAUUGGCACGAAGAAGUUGCACAGAUAGCAAAGGAAUUUCAGGCUCAGUUACAACGGCCAUUGAUAAAGUACACUGG
Struthio camelus australis is the source of this 254-nucleotide non-coding RNA. Lineage: Eukaryota; Metazoa; Chordata; Aves; Struthioniformes; Struthionidae. The record is from RefSeq and is a predicted model, not a curated record.